RNAcentral lists this small nuclear RNA (23 nucleotides) under Arabidopsis thaliana (thale cress). Its description in RNAcentral is "snRNA_18648". Lineage: Eukaryota; Viridiplantae; Streptophyta; Magnoliopsida; Brassicales; Brassicaceae. The record is from RNAcentral.
CUGUCGCACCACGAGGCGCUGUC